Molecule: ribosomal RNA, 212 nt
Filed under: Alteromonas sp. W12
Lineage: Bacteria; Pseudomonadati; Pseudomonadota; Gammaproteobacteria; Alteromonadales; Alteromonadaceae
Description: partial 16S ribosomal RNA
Rfam family: Bacterial small subunit ribosomal RNA
Source: RNAcentral
UUUAAUUGAAGAGUUUGAUCAUGGCUCAGAUUGAACGCUGGCGGCAGGCCUAACACAUGCAAGUCGAACGGUAACAGGAUGUGCUUGCACAUCGCUGACGAGUGGCGGACGGGUGAGUAAUGCUUGGGAACUUGCCUUUGCGAGGGGGAUAACAGUUGGAAACGACUGCUAAUACCGCAUAAUGUCUUCGGACCAAACGGGGCUUCGGCUCC